AGAGUUUGAUCAUGGCUCAGAACGAACGCUGGCGGCAGGCCUAACACAUGCAAGUCGAGCGCCCAGCAAUGGGAGCGGCGGACGGGUGAGUAACACGUGGGAAUUUUCCUCAAGGUACGGAACAACUCAGGGAAACUUGGGCUAAUACCGUAUGAUGCAGAGAUGCCAAAGAUUUAUCGCCUUGGGAUAAGCCCGCGUCAGAUUAGGUAGUUGGUGGGGUAAUGGCCUACCAAGCCUGUGAUCUGUAGCUGGUCUGAGAGGACGAUCAGCCACAUUGGGACUGAGACACGGCCCAAACUCCUACGGGAGGCAGCAGUGGGGAAUCUUGCGCAAUGGGCGAAAGCCUGACGCAGCCAUGCCGCGUGAAUGAUGAAGGUCUUAGGAUUGUAAAGUUCUUUCGCUCGUGACGAUGAUGACGGUAACGAGAGAAGAAGCCCCGGCUAACUUCGUGCCAGCAGCCGCGGUAAUACGAAGGGGGCUAGCGUUGUUCGGAAUUACUGGGCGUAAAGCGCGCGUAGGCGGCUUUGCAAGCCAGAGGUGAAAUGCCUGAGCUCAACUUAGGAAUUGCCUUCGGGACUGCGAGGCUUCGAGGACGGAAGAGGUGAGUGGAAUUCCCAGUGUAGAGGUGAAAUUCGUAGAUAUUGGGAAGAACACCGGUGGCGAAGGCGGCUCACUGGUCCGUUUCUGACGCUAAAGCGCGAAAGCGUGGGGAUCAAACAGGAUUAGAUACCCUGGUAGUCCACGCUGUAAACGAUGAGUGAUAGGCGUCGGCACGCUUGCGUGUCGGUGCCGCAGCUAAC
RNAcentral lists this ribosomal RNA (800 nucleotides) under uncultured bacterium. RNAcentral describes it as "bacterial SSU rRNA". It matches the Rfam family "Bacterial small subunit ribosomal RNA", at positions 8 to 856 of the family's 1533-position model. The record is from RNAcentral.